GAUGAACGCUGGCGGCGUGCCUAAUACAUGCAAGUCGAGCGAACAGACGAGGAGCUUGUUCCUCUGACGUUAGCGGCGGACGGGUGAGUAACACGUGGAUAACCUACCUAUAAGACUGGGAUAACUUCGGGAAACCGGAGCUAAUACCGGAUAAUAUAUUGAACCGCAUGGUUCAAUAGUGAAAGACGGCUUUGCUGUCACUUAUAGAUGGAUCCGCGCCGCAUUAGCUAGUUGGUAAGGUAACGGCUUACCAAGGCAACGAUGCGUAGCCGACCUGAGAGGGUGAUCGGCCACACUGGAACUGAGACACGGUCCAGACUCCUACGGGAGGCAGCAGUAGGGAAUCUUCCGCAAUGGGCGAAAGCCUGACAGAGCAACGCCGCGUGAGUGAUGAAGGUCUUCGGAUCGUAAAACUCUGUUAUUAGGGAAGAACAAAUGUGUAAGUAACUAUGCACGUCUUGACGGUACCUAAUCAAAAAGCCACGGCUAACUACGUG
RNAcentral lists this ribosomal RNA (497 nucleotides) under uncultured bacterium. RNAcentral describes it as "partial 16S ribosomal RNA". It matches the Rfam family "Bacterial small subunit ribosomal RNA", at positions 28 to 507 of the family's 1533-position model. The record is from RNAcentral.